AUUGAACGCUGGCGGCAUGCCUUACACAUGCAAGUCGAACGGCAGCACGGGUGCUUGCACCUGGUGGCGAGUGGCGAACGGGUGAGUAAUACAUCGGAACAUGUCCUGUAGUGGGGGAUAGCCCGGCGAAAGCCGGAUUAAUACCGCAUACGAUCUACGGAUGAAAGCGGGGGACCUUCGGGCCUCGCGCUAUAGGGUUGGCCGAUGGCUGAUUAGCUAGUUGGGGGGGUAAAGGCCUACCAAGGCGACGAUCAGUAGCUGGUCUGAGAGGACGACCAGCCACACUGGGACUGAGACACGGCCCAGACUCCUACGGGAGGCAGCAGUGGGGAAUUUUGGACAAUGGGCGAAAGCCUGAUCCAGCAAUGCCGCGUGUGUGAAGAAGGCCUUCGGGUUGUAAAGCACUUUUGUCCGGAAAGAAAUCCUUGGCCCUAAUACGGUCGGGGGAUGACGGUACCGGAAGAAUAAGCACCAGCUAACUACGU
RNAcentral lists this ribosomal RNA (485 nucleotides) under uncultured bacterium. Its description in RNAcentral is "partial 16S ribosomal RNA". It matches the Rfam family "Bacterial small subunit ribosomal RNA", at positions 30 to 506 of the family's 1533-position model. The record is from RNAcentral.